Molecule: ribosomal RNA, 260 nt
Filed under: uncultured bacterium
Lineage: Bacteria
Description: partial 16S ribosomal RNA
Rfam family: Bacterial small subunit ribosomal RNA
Source: RNAcentral
AGUGGCGGACGGGUGAGUAACGCGUGGGCAACCUGCCUUACACAGGGGGACAACAGCUGGAAACGGCUGCUAAUACCGCAUAUGCGCACAGGGCCGCAUGGUCUGGUGCGGAAAACUCCGGUGGUGUAAGAUGGGCCCGCGUCUGAUUAGGUAGUUGGCGGGGUAACGGCCCACCAAGCCGACGAUCAGUAGCCGGCCUGAGAGGGUGGACGGCCACAUUGGGACUGAGACACGGCCCAAACUCCUACGGGAGGCAGCAG